GCCUUCGUGGUGUAAUGGUCAGCAAACUCGGCGCCUAUUCGAGAUUCCAAGGUUCGAGUCCCUGCGAGGGCA
Molecule: transfer RNA, 72 nt
Filed under: Stegodyphus mimosarum
Lineage: Eukaryota; Metazoa; Arthropoda; Arachnida; Araneae; Eresidae
Rfam family: tRNA
About the family: Transfer RNA (tRNA) molecules are approximately 80 nucleotides in length. Their secondary structure includes four short double-helical elements and three loops (D, anti-codon, and T loops).
Source: Rfam by way of RNAcentral